RNAcentral lists this long non-coding RNA (203 nucleotides) under Elaeis guineensis (African oil palm). Its description in RNAcentral is "long non-coding RNA (EGUI_LNC062883)". The record is from RNAcentral. Lineage: Eukaryota; Viridiplantae; Streptophyta; Magnoliopsida; Arecales; Arecaceae.
UGAUUUAAUACUAUGUAUUAAUCAUGUAAUAGAAUCUUAGAUCUAAGGAUUCUCUGAUUUUAAAAAAUAAAUUUUGAUUUAUUUUAGUCUUCUGUUGCCUGAUCUUGAAAAUGUUUCAAGAUCUAACCCUGAAACCCUAGAUCUGGUUCCUACAACAGCUUCUUUUACAGCAUCAGAUGCAUGAUAUAUUCCACCUUGCGAGU